GGGCGUAUAGCUCAGCUGGUUUAGAGCGCACGCCUGAUAAGCGUGAGGUCGAUGGUUCGAGUCCAUUUAUGCUCA
Molecule: transfer RNA, 75 nt
Filed under: Levilactobacillus brevis
Lineage: Bacteria; Bacillati; Bacillota; Bacilli; Lactobacillales; Lactobacillaceae
Description: tRNA-Ile
Rfam family: tRNA
About the family: Transfer RNA (tRNA) molecules are approximately 80 nucleotides in length. Their secondary structure includes four short double-helical elements and three loops (D, anti-codon, and T loops).
Source: RNAcentral